Molecule: ribosomal RNA, 476 nt
Filed under: uncultured bacterium
Lineage: Bacteria
Description: bacterial SSU rRNA
Rfam family: Bacterial small subunit ribosomal RNA
Source: RNAcentral
AUUGAACGCUGGCGGCAUGCCUUACACAUGCAAGUCGAACGGCAGCGGACCUUCGGGUGCCGGCGAGUGGCGAACGGGUGAGUAAUGCAUCGGAACGUGCCAUUGAGUGGGGGAUAACGUAGCGAAAGUUACGCUAAUACCGCAUAUUCUGUGAGCAGGAAAGCAGGGGACCGCAAGGCCUUGCGCUCUUUGAGCGGCCGAUGUCAGAUUAGCUAGUUGGUGAGGUAAAGGCUUACCAAGGCGACGAUCUGUAGCGGGUCUGAGAGGAUGAUCCGCCACACUGGAACUGAGACACGGUCCAGACUCCUACGGGAGGCAGCAGUGGGGAAUUUUGGACAAUGGGCGCAAGCCUGAUCCAGCCAUGCCGCGUGAGUGAAGAAGGUCCUCUGGAUUGUAAACCUCUUUUGGCAGGAAACAAACCUGCGCUAUACGCGCAGCUGAGGGUACCUGCAGAAUAAGCACCGGCUAACUCCGUG